This 589-nucleotide long non-coding RNA is filed under the name Homo sapiens (human). RNAcentral's name for it is "non-protein coding lnc-CFAP43-1:1". Lineage: Eukaryota; Metazoa; Chordata; Mammalia; Primates; Hominidae. The record is from RNAcentral.
AAGUGUGAGGUUAUUAUGUGAUUUUGAUUUGCAUUUUCCUGAUGAUUAGUGAUAAGAACUUUUUCAUAUAUGUGUUGCCCAUUUUUAUAUCCUCUUUGAAGAAAUGUCUAUUUUUUUAAUUUUUAAUUUUUUUUGACACUCUGUCUCCCAGACUGGAGUACAGUGGCUUGAUCGCAGCUCACUGCAGCCUCGACCUCCUGGGCUAAAGCGAUCCUCCUACCUCCCGAGUAGUUGGGACCACAGGCGUGCACCAUCACACCCAGCUAAUUUCUUUGUAGAGACAGGAUUCUGCCAUGUUGCCAAGGCUGGUCUUGAACUCCUGGGCUCAAGUGAACUGUCUGCCUCGGGGUUAUAGGCGUGAGCUACCAUGCCCAGCCUGAGAAGUGUCUAUGUAAGAUCUUAGCCCAUGUUAAAAUCAGGUUUUUUUGUUGUUGAGUUGUAGAGAUUCCUUAUGUAUUUUGGAGAUUAACCCCUUACCAGGUAUGUGGUUUGCAAGUACUUUCUCCUAUUCCAUAGGUUGCCUUUUUGCUCUGUUAAUCGUUUCCUUUGCUGUGUGGAAGCUUGUUUGCUGUAGUCUCAUGUGUUUAUU